RNAcentral lists this ribosomal RNA (253 nucleotides) under uncultured bacterium. RNAcentral's name for it is "partial 16S ribosomal RNA". It matches the Rfam family "Bacterial small subunit ribosomal RNA", at positions 524 to 776 of the family's 1533-position model. The record is from RNAcentral.
UACAGAGGGUGCAAGCGUUGUUCGGAAUUAUUGGGCGUAAAGGGCGCGUAGGCGGCCCGCUAAGUCGAACGUGAAAUCCCCAGGCUCAACCUGGGAACUGCGUCCGAUACUGGCAGGCUUGAAUCCGGGAGAGGGAUGUGGAAUUCCAGGUGUAGCGGUGAAAUGCGUAGAUAUCUGGAGGAACACCGGUGGCGAAGGCGGCAUCCUGGACCGGUAUUGACGCUGAGGCGCGAAAGCUAGGGGAGCAAACGGG